AUAGCCGUGUGCUUCCUGCAGCUAAGGUGAGCUAUUUCUGUCUCUGCAGGGCAGAGAAACAGAGCAUAGCCACGCACUUCCUGCAGCUUAGCUCCUUCCUGCAUAUUCCUCCUGAACUUUUUCCCCAUCUUUGUUCCAAAUCUUCUUCCCCAUCUUCUCCAACUCCUUCUCCUUCUCUACCUCUUUCCCCUGUCUUUUUCUCUCAACUAUUACUCAUUGUUUACAUAUCUUCCGCAUCUCCUUCU
Molecule: non-coding RNA, 245 nt
Organism: Meleagris gallopavo (turkey)
Lineage: Eukaryota; Metazoa; Chordata; Aves; Galliformes; Phasianidae
Source: RefSeq, a predicted model, not a curated record